GUUGUUGGGUAGGGGAGCGUUCUGUAAGCCGUUGAAGGUGUGCUGUGAGGCAUGCUGGAGGUAUCAGAAGUGCGAAUGCUGACAUAAGUAACGAUAAAGCGGGUGAAAAGCCCGCUCGCCGGAAGACCAAGGGUUCCUGUCCAACGUUAAUCGGGGCAGGGUGAGUCGACCCCUAAGGCGAGGCCGAAAGGCGUAGUCGAUGGGAAACAGGUUAAUAUUCCUGUACUUGGUGUUACUGCGAAGGGGGGACGGAGAAGGCUAUGUCAGCCGGGCGACGGUUGUCCCGGUUUAAGCAUGUAGGCGGAGGUUCCAGGUAAAUCCGGUACCUUAUUAACGCUGAGGUGUGAUGACGAGGCACUACGGUGCUGAAGUGAUAAAUGCCCUGCUUCCAGGAAAAGCCUCUAAGCAUCAGGUAACACGAAAUCGUACCCCAAACCGACACAGGUGGUCAGGUAGAGAAUACCAAGGCGCUUGAGAGAACUCGGGUGAAGGAACUAGGCAAAAUGGUGCCGUAACUUCGGGAGAAGGCACGCUGAUGUGUAGGUGAAGUCCCUGCGGACGGAGCUGAAAUCAGUCGAAGAUACCAGCUGGCUGCAACUGUUUAUUAAAAACACAGCACUGUGCAAACACGAAAGUGGACGUAUACGGUGUGACGCCUGCCCGGUGCCGGAAGGUUAAUUGAUGGGGUUAGCUGUAAGGCGAAGCUCUUGAUCGAAGCCCCGGUAAACGGCGGCCGUAACUAUAACGGUCCUAAGGUAGCGAAAUUCCUUGUCGGGUAAGUUCCGACCUGCACGAAUGGCGUAAUGAUGGCCAGGCUGUCUCCACCCGAGACUCAGUGAAAUUGAACUCGCUGUGAAGAUGCAGUGUACCCGCGGCAAGACGGAAAGACCCCGUGAACCUUUACUAUAGCUUGACACUGAACACUGGUCCUUGAUGUGUAGGAUAGGUGGGAGGCUUUGAAGCGUGGACGCCAGUCUGCGUGGAGCCGCCCUUGAAAUACCACCCUUUAAUGGCUGGUGUUCUAACGUAGACCCGUGAUCCGGGUUGCGGACAGUGUCUGGUGGGUAGUUUGACUGGGGCGGUCUCCUCCCAAAGAGUAACGGAGGAGCACGAAGGUUGGCUAAUCCUGGUCGGACAUCAGGAGGUUAGUGCAAUGGCAUAAGCCAGCUUGACUGCGAGCGUGACGGCGCGAGCAGGUGCGAAAGCAGGUCAUAGUGAUCCGGUGGUUCUGAAUGGAAGGGCCAUCGCUCAACGGAUAAAAGGUACUCCGGGGAUAACAGGCUGAUACCGCCCAAGAGUUCAUAUCGACGGCGGUGUUUGGCACCUCGAUGUCGGCUCAUCACAUCCUGGGGCUGAAGUAGGUCCCAAGGGUAUGGCUGUUCGCCAUUUAAAGUGGUACGCGAGCUGGGUUUAGAACGUCGUGAGACAGUUCGGUCCCUAUCUGCCGUGGGCGCUGGAGAAUUGAGGGGGGCUGCUCCUAGUACGAGAGGACCGGAGUGGACGCAUCACUGGUGUUCGGGUUGUCAUGCCAAUGGCACUGCCCGGUAGCUAAAUGCGGAAGAGAUAAGUGCUGAAAGCAUCUAAGCACGAAACUUGCCCCGAGAUGAGUUCUCCCUGAGACUUUAAGUCUCCUGAAGGAACGUUGAAGACGACGACGUUGAUAGGUCGGGUGUGUAAGCGCAGCGAUGCGUUGAGCUAACCGAUACUAAUGAACCGUGAGGCUUAACCUU
Molecule: ribosomal RNA, 1730 nt
Filed under: Enterobacter cloacae
Lineage: Bacteria; Pseudomonadati; Pseudomonadota; Gammaproteobacteria; Enterobacterales; Enterobacteriaceae
Also listed under: 1 other name
Description: bacterial LSU rRNA
Rfam family: Bacterial large subunit ribosomal RNA
Source: RNAcentral